Molecule: long non-coding RNA, 296 nt
Filed under: Homo sapiens (human)
Lineage: Eukaryota; Metazoa; Chordata; Mammalia; Primates; Hominidae
Description: HSALNT0262527
Source: RNAcentral
CUGUGUGGCGCUAGGAUGCCUGUAACACCCUGGGAACAAAUCCGAACGUUCCUUCUAAACCAACGCAGGCCGACUCGAGGCUCUGGCUGUCAGGGGAACCUCAGCAGAACUGAAGAAGCUUUGCUUUGUUUCCACGGACUGUAGAAGCAUUGUGACAAACCACUGAGAAGAGACAUGGAAGAGUUUGGAAACAUCUUUAAAUAGUUUUCUUGAAAGGGCAGGAUAGGAGAUACUUAAACAUGAUCCUAAGCAUGAUCAUUUCAUUCAUAAAUAUAUAUGAAAUUAUAUUUUGUGAU